This 87-nucleotide transfer RNA is filed under the name Rhodospirillaceae bacterium. RNAcentral describes it as "tRNA-Leu". It matches the Rfam family "tRNA". From Rfam's summary of the family: Transfer RNA (tRNA) molecules are approximately 80 nucleotides in length. RNAcentral also lists the same sequence under 2 other names. Lineage: Bacteria; Pseudomonadati; Pseudomonadota; Alphaproteobacteria; Rhodospirillales; Rhodospirillaceae. The record is from RNAcentral.
GCCCGCGUGGUGGAAUUGGUAGACACGCAAGACUUAAAAUCUUGUUCACGUAAGUGAGUUCCGGUUCAAGUCCGGACGCGGGCACCA